RNAcentral lists this long non-coding RNA (229 nucleotides) under Elaeis guineensis (African oil palm). Its description in RNAcentral is "long non-coding RNA (EGUI_LNC057250)". The record is from RNAcentral. Lineage: Eukaryota; Viridiplantae; Streptophyta; Magnoliopsida; Arecales; Arecaceae.
UCACCAUCCUCAUGAUGAUCCUAUGGUCAGGAGCUGUUUAUGAGUUAGUUAUGUAAAUUCAUGUCUUAAAUUUCCAACUCUUAAAAAUAUGAAUUAACAUUCCUACUAACUCAAAAGAUGUAUCACAGACAUAAUGUAUACAAUGUGAUAGUAGAAUAAUCUUUUUAUUCAUUUAUAGUCAAAAUUACAAAUUUGUCUUUACAUUUGUAUAGAAAUGUGCCAGCCAAUC